AUUAUCCGAGCUUUGCGGGCUAAGCGUAAUUGUAUGCCUGUUAAGCCGAAGCCGAAAUACAUCCAUCGGCUUAAGGGUAUCGCGGGAAACGGCGGUGCCUUCCGUGUUUGAAAAGGAGUAAAUAUC
RNAcentral lists this non-coding RNA (126 nucleotides) under bovine gut metagenome. RNAcentral's name for it is "Moco (molybdenum cofactor) riboswitch". The stretch from base 5 to 117 matches the Rfam family "Molybdenum/Tungsten riboswitch aptamer (Moco RNA motif)", at positions 14 to 118 of the family's 135-position model. The record is from RNAcentral.